This 67-nucleotide transfer RNA is filed under the name Marmota monax (woodchuck). RNAcentral's name for it is "tRNA.Val". The record is from RNAcentral. Lineage: Eukaryota; Metazoa; Chordata; Mammalia; Rodentia; Sciuridae.
GCUGAUGGCUCAGUUGGUAGAGUGCUUGCCUCACAUGUACAAGCCCUGGGCUCAAUCCCCAGCACCA